RNAcentral lists this ribosomal RNA (511 nucleotides) under uncultured Actinomycetes bacterium. Its description in RNAcentral is "bacterial SSU rRNA". It matches the Rfam family "Bacterial small subunit ribosomal RNA", at positions 371 to 896 of the family's 1533-position model. Lineage: Bacteria; Bacillati; Actinomycetota; Actinomycetes. The record is from RNAcentral.
UAGGGCGAAAGCCUGAUGCAGCAACGCCGCGUGCGGGAAGAAGGCCCUAGGGUUGUAAACCGCUUUCAGCAGGGAAGAAGAUGACGGUACCUGUAGAAGAAGGUGCGGCCAACUACGUGCCAGCAGCCGCGGUGACACGUAGGCACCAAGCGUUGUCCGGAUUUAUUGGGCGUAAAGAGCUCGUAGGCGGUUCGGUAAGUCGGGUGUGAAAACUCUGGGCUCAACCCAGAGCCGCCACCCGAUACUGCUGUGACUUGAGUUCGGUAGGGGAGCGGGGAAUUCCUGGUGUAGCGGUGAAAUGCGCAGAUAUCAGGAGGAACACCAGUGGCGAAGGCGCCGCUCUGGGCCGAGACUGACGCUGAGGAGCGAAAGCGUGGGUAGCAAACAGGAUUAGAUACCCUGGUAGUCCACGCCGUAAACGUUGGGCACUAGGUGUGGGUCUCAACCAACGAGAUCCGCGCCGUCGCUAACGCAUUAAGUGCCCCGCCUGGGGAGUAGGGUCGCAAGACUA